RNAcentral lists this ribosomal RNA (468 nucleotides) under uncultured bacterium. RNAcentral's name for it is "partial 16S ribosomal RNA". It matches the Rfam family "Bacterial small subunit ribosomal RNA", at positions 28 to 507 of the family's 1533-position model. The record is from RNAcentral.
GACGAACGCUGGCGGCGUGCUUAACACAUGCAAGUCGAACGGAAAGGCCCUGCUUUUGUGGGGUGCUCGAGUGGCGAACGGGUGAGUAACACGUGAGUAACCUGCCCUUGACUUUGGGAUAACUUCAGGAGACUGGGGCUAAUACCGGAUAGGAGCUCCUGCUGCAUGGUGGGGGUUGGAAAGUUUCGGCGGUUGGGGAUGGACUCGCGGCUUAUCAGCUUGUUGGUGGGGUAGUGGCUUACCAAGGCUUUGACGGGUAGCCGGCCUGAGAGGGUGACCGGUCACAUUGGGACUGAGAUACGGCCCAGACUCCUACGGGAGGCAGCAGUGGGGAAUAUUGCACAAUGGGCGGAAGCCUGAUGCAGCAACGCCGCGUGCGGGAUGACGGCCUUCGGGUUGUAAACCGCUUUCGCCUGUGACGAAGCGUGAGUGACGGUAAUGGGUAAAGAAGCACCGGCUAACUACGUG